Long non-coding RNA from Macadamia integrifolia, 19233 nucleotides. RefSeq lists it as uncharacterized. The record is from RefSeq and is a predicted model, not a curated record. NCBI's taxonomy places the organism in Eukaryota, Viridiplantae, Streptophyta, Magnoliopsida, Proteales, Proteaceae. The transcript is spliced from 5 exons.
AUGCUCUUCCUGAUUAUUCUAUCUUUAUUUCAUUCAUAGAAAACAUAUCCAAUCCCAAAUCCAUUUAUUGUUCUGGUACCCAAUCGAACUAGAAUAAUAAAAGCUAGAUACAAAGAAAAUACCUUUUGCUACCAAAGCUUCUGGAUUUCCAUUUGGAAGAUGGAGAAUUUUGUAUAGAUGUCUCUUUAUUGGACCCUUUAUUAUGACGUUUUUGAAGGUUUAAAAAUACCAUCUUGGACAACAUUUAGAGAAUCACUUGGAAGAUGGAGAAUUUUGUAUAGAUGUCUCUCUAUUGGACCCUUUAUUAUGAUGUUUACCACAGCAAAGUGAGAAGAGUGAAUAGUUUCCAUUUUCACUUUUAUUACUUUUUUUUGUUAUCUUAUCUUUUUGUAAUCACAGAUGGAGAGUGGGAUGUGAGAACCGAAGUGUUUUAAAGAAGCUCGAUCACUCUUUCAAUAGUUUAUAUAGAACUUCUCUGCCGCCCAGUGAUACUUGACAGCUUGACGCCCAUAACAUAGCACAACACUCAUUACCUAUAUUUCAUGUCCUUGUAAAGCGCCACCACAAAGUAAAUCUCAGACUAGCUCAAAUUUAGGAAAUAUGGACGGAAAUCAUUCCAUAUCAAUAAAGGAAAUUUCUUAAUAUUAUUUCCCUACAUCUAUGAACUGUUUGUCAGGCUCUCUGUCCUUGUACAUGCUCAUUGAUGCAAUCUUGUAAUGCCUAAUAUUUGUAAGUCAUAUCCUCUAAAAUCAACAAAUUAGGUAAACUUCUAAUUCUUUGACCUGAUUGGUAAUCCUCUUAUUCAUCUUUAUUGAGUAUUGCUCCUAAUUGUGUUACCUUUAAGUUCAUUUCCCAUGGAUUUACUUAUUUUGGGCAUCCAAUUUCUUCAAGCAUUGCAUUGGAAGCAAUCAAACUAUACAAAUAUGCUUGUGCUGAAUAUUUUCUUACACUUUAAGUAAUAAAGGUUUUGAUAUGGACUUGGAUUUUUUUAAUGAAUCAUAUUUUUGGAGAGAUAUUUUAUGCUUUUUAAGUUAUAUAUAGCUCAUUUAUUACCUAAGUUUAGUUCAUUUUUGAGGAGGUACUUUAUGAUUUCAAGUUAUAUAUGGCUCAUUUAUUACCAAAUUUUGGUUCCUUCAUAUCUACUUUGUUUAAUGAAUUUGAUUAUCCAGAUAUGGGAAAAGGCUUGAUUCUUGGGACUUUUACCAGUUUGUAAUGUGGACAGAUCAGGUUCUUUGGCCCUUUAUGUUCGUUGUUAUUGUGUCAUUACUUAUGUUUUUCUCAUUUGCAUUUAAGUUUCAACCUCUUAUCCAACCUGUACAAAAGGAAAAGCAAAAAAGAUGAAGUGAUUUAAGGUUAAAAAUUUUCCCAAUUUUUUUUAUGUGAAUAAAUUAUUCAUUACCAAAGAGAGGAAAAAACAAAAGGGGAAAGAAAAGAAAACAAAAGAAUACAUAGGGCCCACCUCAAGAGGUAGGGAAGAAAGAAGUGAGGGGGAGGGUCCCAGAAAAUCCUAAAGAUCUAGAUCACAUAGGUUUCACUAUCCCCUUUUUGGCCAUUAGAUCAUCCAUGAGUUAAGGGUUUUCUUGUUUUUGAUGUAUAUAAUAAGAUGGUGAAGAUAGAAUCAUUGAGUUUCCUUCCUUUAAACUUUUCCAAAAGAAAAUAUGGUUCACCAAAGAGCAAAUCUUUCAAGUCUGAAACAUCUUUCGUCAAGCCACUAUUAGGACCGAGAAGAGUGGCUUCUAGGCCAUCAGCUGGAUUGGCCUCCUUACUUUAAUUUCUCUUCCUUGCCUGCUUCAUAUGAGUGGCUGAAUUGUUGGUGAACCAGAUUGCAUUUAGGCCAUCAGCAUGGAUGAGGUUGUUAAUCUGAAUUGUUGCAUAUUGACCACAAUAGAGUCAUUUCUUCAGUUAUUGUUGUUGCAUUAGUAAUAUGCUAUAGAUUUCAGAAGCACUGGAUAUUCACAACUAGCAAUAAAUGAACUAACUUGGAUAUGAAGACAGAAUGAAAGCUUUUAUGGUCCCUUUUUUUUUUGUAAUACUUGGUGGUUCAAAGCCUAGUACUCUGUGAUCACACAAUCACUUGGAAGCCCACUUGCAAAACAACCUCAGUUACCGGUGCUGACGUCUUCUCUGGUAAAACCGAACCCCUCUUUGUCCUUCUCACUUACAAUGAUAGAUAGGCUCAUAUUCUACUUCUUUUUAUCUAUUUGUAUUUCUUUCUCAUAAAGUCUAUCGUAGAAUAUGUUAACAUGGGUUUUUAUUUAUUUCAAUACACUCUUUUCAUACUUUGAUCUAUUCCUUAAAGAUGGUAAUCAUGUAAAAGUGUAUUGCUUUGCCGCAGUUGUCUCCGUCGUCAGCAUCCCGUCCUUCAUCGCUUUCCAAAUACCCUACUCCUCUGGUAUAUUUCAUUGUGUUCUUAACUUUGGAGCAGUUUUUUUAUUAAAUGUGUAUUCUUUUUUUUUUUUUCCGAGCAGGAAAUGAAAGCUUCACUUGGAAAGAUAAGAGGAAAGUAGUGGGUUGUGGUGUCUUUGAGAUACGAAUCUCCUCUGUGUUUCUUCUCCUUCUGCUAUUGCUUCUCGUAUACCGGAUUACCCAUAUCAGAUGAGUUCUUCUUUCUCUUUAAUUUUUGUUUUGUUUUGUUUUGAGAAAAUCUUUAAAAAGUGGUGCAAUUUUUCUGAGAUUUUUGUUGUGAAGAACUGAAACGGGUAGCUAUGAUUUUUGAAUUUCUGGUGUGUCUUGGUUGGUCUGCCUCAUAACUUUUGAUUUAAGAAAUUAGGCGGUUUACCUUUUUCUCCCUAUUGUCUCCCAAUUUUUUUGAAUUGGGUUUUGGUCACUUGAUGCCUGAAUCUUUCCUCUAAUUUAUUCUUGACGAUUCAGGGAUUGAUUUGCAGAUCUUAUUUAGAAUUUUUUGCCAUUGCUGUUGUUGUAGCAGUUGAAUUAGAGAACCUGUUUCUUCCCAUAUGUUAUUGAAACUGAAAGUGGAUUUUUUUGUCAACCAAUAUACUAUUCUACUAUUUGAUUUGAUAUUACAAUAUAUGUUUCAUGCUGUCUUUUGUUGACUUGAUCCUUGAAAUUUUACUUGUUUAUUUGAGACACUAGAAGUCUAGAAUUGCUUAUAACCCUUUUCAGUCUCCAGUAAGGUAUUUAAGAGGUUCUUCCAUCAUUUUUUUAGGGUUACAAAAAAACCUCUGACGUUGUCCUCCCCUAAAUUCGUUGAGAAAUCACUCACUGUUUUUAUUGUGGGUUUGGUGGUUUUGAAUACAUUUUUUGGUCAAAAUAAAAACUAGUCUUUCAAAAGAAAUUUGUAGAUUUGCGACCAACUCUUAAUUUUUAUUUUUCAGACUUUUUUACCAUCUUGAUAACAAGGAGUAAAAUAGUCCUUAAAAGAAGAAGAAAAUUUUUGUAGAUGUUCUGAUUGUUGGAGAGAGUGAUUGUACGGAAUGCCUGAUAGUUCACUUUUAGAUCCGAUAGGUAAAGUUAGAUCUUGGAUCCCUUGGAGUGGAAUUGAUUUAUCCAAUAUCUAUAGGGAAGUAUGGAUGCCAGACAAUAUGAUGUAAAUGAUUAGGUAUUGUUUUUCCAAUGAUCGUAGUCCCAAGUACUUUCUGACGAGCUCUGAUGUGAUCUGAUUUAUAGGUAAGCAUCUCUUGUAAAAAUGUGAGCAAAACCAAAUCCUCCUAGAGCCCAAAUUUUCAUUUCUCCUACCUGUUGUCCCCUCUGCUUGGUGCUUCCUCUAAGGGGGUGUAAAUGUGAAACACACUUGACUGAGUUUAGCCUUUUCUAUCAUUGUCAAAGUUGUGGUUGUGUGUUGUGUGGGAAAUGUGUGCAGGCUGUCGAUGAUUCUGUUGUAUUAGAUGGUUGGGAAUAUACCACCAAGGAUGGGAGACGUAUCAAAAUACUACAAGUUUUUCUUUUAGGCUACGGUUGGGUAUGAAGUUGGGGGACAAUACAAUAAUAGAAUUGAUCAAUCAUCUGACAAUACAAUGUUUUCUUCCUCAUACAAAAGGUCCUGUGCUAAUCAAGUGUAGUGCACCCCCAAGUUCUAUGAAUUUACGUUGAUAUUUAGUGUGGCUUUCUAAGAAUUUUUUUUUUCUUUUUGACCUUAAAUUUGUAGUUCUCAAAAAAAUAUCUUAAGGACAUUGCCUGAUGUGGGGAAGAUUUUUCUUUUUCUUUUGAUAACCAGGAUGUUCAAAUCUGACUAUAAUGCUUGUUUUUUUGUCCAAAUCUCUCUCUCUCUCUCUCUCUCUCUCUCUCUCUCUCUCUCUCUCUCUCUCUCUCUCUCUUUCUCUCUCUCUCGAUUUUAUUGCUUUCUAUAUUUAGAUAUCUUUCAUGUUGUAUACUUAUUCUUUUGUAACUCUGAAUAACUUUCUAGAAUUAUCCAAGGGAUUUCCAUCUCUAGACUGUGCAAAUUCUUUUUCUUAUUUGACUGAAUUUUUAAUGUUUUAUGAGUUUAGUUUCUUUUUUUGUGUCCUGGAAACAAGAAAUAAACUGUAAUACAUUGUUUCCAUUAAUUUGGCUUUGAAUUGUAGAUUGGAUGGAAAGAGAGGGUUAUAAAACUUUUAAUCAAGGAACUCAUUCUAAUAUUUUUAACUCUAUUUUCCUUGCUCAUUUAAAUCUUACAAGCUUGUAUUUAUUGAACUAGAAUCAGUUAGAAAUAAGAAGUACCAAGGUUAGAGAUGAGGGAAGAAGAUAGAGGAGAUGAAGGAAGAAGAAGGAGAGAAGAAGAGAGAAAGAGGAGUUACGGUGGGAGCAAAAUUGUGAAUGAGCUCUUGCUCAUCUCACCCAUAUUACAUUCAAAUAUUAGUUUAGGGAAUUACAUAUUCCUCCCUUGGGGAGGUGAAAGAGAAAUAAGGAAAAUAAGAGAAAUUACAUGUAAGGACAACUUAAGAUAAAAUAGUUCCUAAUGUACCCCUAACACAUAUUCUAACACUCCCCCUCAAGCUGGAGAAUAAAUAUCAUGCAUUCCCAACUUGCAUAAGAGGGUACUGAACUGGUGAGGAAUGAGUCCUUUGGUGAAGAUAUCCACCAAUUGAUCACCUGUCCUCACAAAGGGUGUGCAAAUGUUACCAAAAUCAAUCUUCUCCUUGAUGAAAUGCUGGUCUACUUCAAUGUGCUUUGUUCUAUUAUGUUGUACUAGAUUGUGAGCAAUGCUUAUUGUUGCUUUGUUGUCACAGUAGAGUCUCAUAGGUCCUUUAGUGACAUACCCCAACUCGAGAACCAACCGAUGCAACCAAGUGAGCUCACAAACAGUAUGAACCAUUGCUCUGUACUCAGCCUCUGCACUGGAUCUGGCUACAACCGACUGUUUCUUACUUCUCCAUGUAAACAAGUUGCCACCCAUGAAUGUGCAAUAAUCAGAUGUAGAUCUCCUGUCAUAAAUGGAUCCAGCCCAAUCAUCAUCGGAAUAGCCUUCAAUCCUCAAGUGAUUGUUCUUGGCAUUCAAAAUUCCUUUUCCUGGAGAGGACUUCAAGUAUCUGAGGAUAUGGUACACAACAUCCAAGUGCCCACUCUUAGGUGUAUGCAUAAACUGGCUCACAACUCCCACUGCAUAAGAAAUGUCUGUGCGAGUUAGAGAUAGAUAAAUCAGCUUCCCCAAUAGCCUCUAGUAUUUCCCUGCGUCAACAAGGGAAGGGACACAAUCCUCUCCUAGCUUAUAAUUUUGCUUAAUAGGAGAACUUACUGGUUUGCAUCCCAACAUUCCUGUUUUCUUCAACAGAUCUAGAACAAAUUUUCUUUGGCAUACAUUGAUUCCCUUCUUAGAUCUUGACACUUCAAUACCCAAGAAAUAUUUCAAGUGUCUUAGAUCUUUGAUCUCAAAUUAUUUAGCCAAAUAAGCUUUCAGCCUAGUUACCUCCUCAUUAUCAUCUCCAGUCACCACAAUAUCAUCAACAUACACAAUCAAUGCUGUGAUGGUGCCAUUACCUCUCUGGAUAAAUAAUGUGUGAUCUGCUUGACUAUGGGAGUACCCAUUUUUUAGAAUGGCUUGUCUGAACCUCUCAAACCAAGCCUUUGGUGACUGCUUCAGACCAUCUAGUGUCUUUUUUAGGAGAUAUACCUUCCCAUCGGCUCCCAAAAAAUUGAAGCCAGGAGGGGCUGCAUAUACACUUCCUACUAUAAAUCUCCAUGGAGAAAGGCAUUCUUCACAUCUAACUGAUAUAGGGGCCAAUCUCUGUUUGCUGCCACAGAUAAAAGAACUCUUAUAGAGUUAUAUUUGGCCAUAGGAGUAAAUGUCUCCUAAUAGUCAAUCUCAUACACUUGACUGUACCCUUUGGCCACCAAUCUUGCUUUGUACCUCUCAAUAGCACCAUCUGAUUGGUACUUGACCAUGUAGACCCAUCUGCAUCCAACUGGGAUUCUCCCCCUGGGAAGGUCAACCAGUUUCUAGGUACAAUUCUUCUCAAGAGCCAUCAUUUCCUCUGACAUGGCUUGUUUCGACCUAGGGUCUGAUAUAGCCUCAGUAACAGUUUUAGGGAUGGAAGCAGAGGAAAGAGCAGCUGUAAAAGCAACACCUGUAGGAGAGAGAGAAUCAUAGGAAACAAAUUACACUAUAGGAUUAGUACAAACUCUCUUACCCUUAUGAACAGAAAUAGGAAGAUCCAACUCCAAAUGAGGGGAGGAGAUGUUACCUGACUAAGGAAGAGAAAGCUCAGGAUGUGGAGACAAAGAGGACUCUUGGUAGGUCUUCUUUGUCCUUCUUGUGUACACAAUAACAGGAGCCUUCUCUAUAUAAAGUUCAUCCACAGUAGCAACAUCAUCCACCUCUUUAUGAUUACCAAUAUCAAAGGAAAAAAGAAUAAGAAGCAAUGGGGUAAGAAAUGGAAUGGCAUCAGCAGCCUUUUCACCUUCAUUUCAAUUCUCCCCCUUAAGAGGAUGCUAAUGAGGUGCAAAAUAAGGGACAAACUCAAGAAAGAUGACACCUUUGGAAAGAAAUCACCUAUGAGAUGAAGGGUGAUAACACUUGUAGCCUUCGGUAGUGGAAGAAUACCCAAGGAAGAGGCAUUUUAGAGCCUUGGGAUCAAGUUUGGUGCGGGAGGAUUUGUUAACAUGCAUAUAAUAAACACAACCAAACACCUUUGGAAGAAGAGUGAAAGCAGGAGAUUGAGGAGUGCAAUUGGGUUUUGAGACCCAAGAAUAUUUAUAGGCAUGCAAUUAAUGAGGAAAGUUACAGUAAGAAUAACUUCAGACCAAAAAGGCACAUGCAUACCAAAUAAAAGACUUAUACCAACUUCUAACAAGUAAUGGUUUUUCCUCUCAGCUACCCCAUUCUAUUGGGGUGUAUCAACACAAGCAAGCUGGUGGAUAAUACUAUUGUCAGUAAAAAAGUCUUGUAAACCACCAUACAUGUACUCCCCCCCUUUAUCAGACUGGACAAUUUUGAUCUUGGUUUCAAACUGGGUAUGGACCAUUUGAUAAAAAUUUUUGAAGGCAUCAUAAAUAUCACUCUUAUGCUUCUUCAUAAGAAUAGUCCAAGUACAAUGAGAAAAGUCAUACACAAAAGAAACAAAAUAGCGAUGGCCAAAUAGGGAGGUGGUGGGACAAGGUCCCUAAACAUUAGUAUGCACAAUAUGAAAAGGAACGACAGAUCUAUUACCAUAAUAGAGAUAAGAUGAAUGAUAAUGUUUAGCAAAAGUACAUAGUUCACAAUGAAAUACAUGAGUAGAAGAAAAAGAUGUAAACAAAUGAGGAAACUGUUUCCUCAUAACAACAAAAGAUGGAUGUCCCAAACGCUGAUGCCAAAGCAUCAUAGAGUCUGUAGAGAUAGCAUCACUACGACCACAUGCAUAGGACAUGGUGUAGAUAAAAAAGGUAACCGCAGCUCAAGACGGUAUAGGCCUCCCUCCUCAAGUCCACUGCCAAUAAUCCUCUUCAUCCCCAAAUCCUGAAAAAGGUAAUGAGAAGGAAAAAAUGUGAUACAACAAUUUAAGGUCUUAGUUAAAGUGCUCAUAGACAAUAGGUUCAAGGUAAGGUUAGAGACAUGAAGAACAGAAGUAAGUGAAGUGGAAAAGGUAAUGGGAAUAUUGCCUUUAUUAGAGAUAGAGGAGAAAGUACCAUUAGCUACUCGAACUUUAUCCUUACUAGAGCAAAUAGAGUAGGAGUCAUAGUAAUGGGACAUACCGGUGAUAUGGUUAGUGGCAUUAGACUCAAUAACCUAUGAUGGAGCUGUGGAAGGUGCAGAGGUGGUGACAUGUAUAGCAGAAGCUGAGGCAUCUUGUGAGGUAGACGGGCUAUCAAGCUGAGACAUGAACCAGUGAAGCACUGUAAUAUCAUCCCUAGAGAAGGAGCUAGUAUCUGCCUGUGAGGAGUCUCUAGUAUCAGUCUCUGUCAUAGUAGCAUGGGUCGUAGCCCCUCCUCUGCACCCACCAUGUGUGCCAGUAGAUCCACCACGUAUACUAGGAUGGCCAUGAAGAACCCAACACUUAUCUCGAGUAUGUUCAGGUUUCCCACAAUGAUCACACUAUCGUCUAUCCUUGUCAUCUCCAUGGGAGUCUUUUGACCUCGGCCGCCUCCACGCCAUUCUCUGUGAGAAGUGGAGGAAGGAGCAGAGCGCUCAAGUGAAGGUGUAGAACCCAUGGCACCUCUCCUGGUUUCCUCACUCAGGAGGUAGCUACACACCUCAUCAAGUAUAGGUAGGGGUGACUGGCCCAAAAUCUAUAGUCGGAUCUGCUCAUAUUAUGAAUUUAUCCCACCUACAAGUAUCAGAGCACGCUCUUUUUCAAGAGAUCUAUAGACCUUAGCUUCAUCAUCAGGAUUAGUCAAAUGAAGAUCUCAGUAAUGGUCAUACUCCUCCCAGAGUCCUAUAACAGUGUUAUAGUAGCAAAAAAUGGACUUAGUGCCCUGCUUCAUGAGGAGUUCCUGUUGAAGAAGCUGGGGACCUUCACAGAGUCACCUACCCUAUCACAAGUCCUAGAGACACCAUCCCAAAUAUCCUUAGCAGUUUCCUUCGGUAUAAAUCUCCUACCUAUCUUAGGUUUUAUGAAGAAAAGUAGCCAAGUCAUGACAGUGCAGUUUGUAGUUUCUUAUCUUUGGUACCCGGGGUUUGCGACAGCGGGAGCCUUGAUAGCCCCAGUAAUAUAUCCUAGCUUCCCUCUACUCUAUAAGGAUAGCUUCACAGAGUGUGACCAAUCCAAGUAGUUAGUACUAUCCAACUUCACAAAAGAAAUCUGGGUGUUAGGAUUGUCAAAAAUAAUCGAACUGGGGUUGGUACUACUUAACCCACCCGAUAUAGCUUCCAAAGGUUCCGUGAGAUCAGACAUAAUGUAAGGAUGUCCCUAAACAACACUCCACUGGGGAAUCCAAAGCAAAGGAGAACACCAGCCCCAAAAAAGGUCUUCUUCUCGGAACUUUAAAAAAUAGCAAGCUAGUACCCAUAGAGACUUGAGGCAAAGCCAAUAAAAAAAAACUUUAACUAUGGAGAAUCAUCCAACAACCACAUACAAGCAUCGUAUGAGAGGGAACAUCUAGCAAACACAGCCAAAACAUAAUCUACCAUCCAUUUCAGACCAUAAAAUCUGAAAAAAGGAACCAGGCGAUACCGGGCAGCACAUGGAGAAUGGAGUAGAACUCCAACAACAUAAAAAAUAGGGAGUGAGGCUUGGGGAGUCAAAUAUAGACCCCUGGGUGAUCCUAUUGAGCUAUUCCAAUCUCCCAACCUAGCAUGGAUGAGAGAGAAAAAAAGAAUCAAACUAGGCAGGGGCGGUAAUGCUGUGGAUAGUUUCUUCUCUCUUUGUGAGCUCCAAACUGUCUUUGUAGCCUUUAAAUCUCCCUCCAAGUGUCUUCAACCUGUUUUGACAACUCCAUUAGGCUUUCUUGUAUACAUUUUUACAUAGUAUAGCCUCUAAUGGAACCCUCUUUCUUUUAGGGUUCCAAGAGAGACUUAAAGAAUGGAACUAGAAGGGAUUGGUCGACUCUCAAACCUAUGUAUUGGCUCUGAUACCAAGUUAGAAAUAAGAAGUACCAUGGUUAGAGAUGAGGGAAGAAGAUAGAGGAGACGAAGGAAGAAGAAGGAGAGAAGAAGAGGUAAAGAGGAGUUACGGUGGGAGCAAAAUCGUGAAUGAGCUCUGUUUAUCUCACCCAUAUUACAUUCAAAUAUUAGUUUAGGGAAUUACAUAUUCCUCCCUUAAGGAGGUGAAACAGAAAUAAAGAAACUAAGAGAAAUUAUAUGUAAGGACAACUUAAGAUAAAACAGUUCCUAAUGUACCCCUAAUACACUUAUUCUAAUAGAAUCAUGAAUGCUAGAUACAAAGAGAAUGACUUUUUUCUACCAAAGCUUUUGAUUUUACCUUUACUCAGAAGGGUUCUGAAGGUCCAAUUGAGGGUGGGAUCGGGUAAGGGUAAAGAUUGUCUUUACAAGAGGAGACACAAGUCAAAAUGAGCCCAAAGGUAGAAAUGUUCUAGGCCUUAAGGUCAAACUUCACAUUUCUUAACUUAUGGACAAAGGCAAUAAGGGGGAGUCGAAGGAAUAGAUGGGCUUGAGCCAGGUGGAGUGAACAACAUAUAGGAAUCCUAGGUGGGAAGUCCACAUAUUGAAGAAUUUAAAAGGUUUGGGCCCAAAGGAGACGUAGGGUUGAACAUGAAGGGAGAUGGGGCUGUGGUUGGAGAUAGAGGGGUUGUCAAAGGAAGUGUGGGAGGAGAGGAAGUAAGAGAGCCAUACCUCGCUAACUGAGACCCUACCCUAUUUGCAAGCAAUAUGAUCAGGGCCAAAUCUCCUAUUAUACCAAGAGAAUUUUAGGCAAGACCAUCUAAGGUCAUCAAUGCCGAUGUCCUAAAGACAAAAAUUAAAGGAGUUCACCGAGUUAGAAUCAAUGGACAAGCCACCAAGCUUUUUAUGGCUAUAUUGCACCACAUUGAAGUCACCUCCCCACCCCUAGGGGGAGGAGUUUACCCCAGGAGCAAGGGAUCUCAGGUUAUCCCAGAGGGAGGAUUUAUCAAAGGAGCAGUUGAGGCCAUAGAUGAAGGAAAAGAAAGAGGGGCCACCAUUGGGGUGGGAGAUGGAUAGGUGGAUUAGUUGGGGUGGGAGAUGGAUAGGUGGAUUAGUUGGGGAGAGGAGAAGACAGGGGUGAGCUGAAUCUUAGAAUGGUUCCAAAGGAUCCAGAUGUGGCCAUUGGGACAAGAGGAAUAGUUGGAGAGGAAGGACCAUGAAGGGGCAAUUAAGGAGGCGAUGCGGCAGGCAUUGGGUUCUAAGACUCUCAUCUCAAGGAGGCAGCAAAGGAUGGCUCGAGAGUCCUUGAGACAAGAACGGAUUUUUGCAUGCUCAGUUAGUGACUUAAGGCCCCGAACAUUCCAAAUGGACCAGCAAUUCAUGGAGGGGGAGAAUGGUGGGGGCAACUAAACCUUAAAGAGGCAGCAGGGGAGGACAGGUGGGGUGCAAACUUACAUUUGCACCUACAGUAUUCCAGAACAGCCGGGGAUGGGGGGAGGUAUGGAUGGCAAUCGGCAUGGGUAGAGGAGCGGGAAAGGAGGAGGGGGAGUCGAAGGCUUGGACAUAGAAGGUUUGGUUUUUUACUUUCUGGAGCCAGAGGUUUUGGAAUGAAGGAUGGACUUAGUGGAGGAUCCGAGGAAUGGAUUGGCCAAGACAGAGAUGGGCUGCUUCCGAGCUCUGGAGUUCUUUGAUUUUUUCUUUGGAGCAACAAAUGGGGAUGCACCUAGUUGCAGUGACCUAGUACCCUGAUGGCUGCUCAGCUGGGCAGUGAUCACAGUUGUUGUAGCAAGGGAGGUUGGAGAAGACAUAGCAUGGCCCUGUCAUAAAGAAACUAUAGCAGGGAAAGUUGCAUCAACAAUGGUAAUGCGCAGCCGUAGGGAAGCUACAACGGGGGAAGAUGUUGAAGCCAUAGAAUGGCCUUGCCGAAUUGAAGCUACAGCAUGGGUGAUCACAUUGUCGUAAUAGGGGAAGUUGGAGAAGACGUGGCAUGGCCUUGCCAUAGGGAAGCUACAUCAGGGGAAGUUGUAGGGGUAGUGGGAAGGCCCAGCAGUAAGGAAGCAACAGCUGGGGUAGAUAUUGAAGUCAUGGAGUUGCCUUGUCGUAGGGGAGCUACAGAAGGGUAAGUUGUAGACGCCAUGGCAUGGCCCUACUGUAGGAAGCUACCGCAGGGGGAAGGUCCAAACCAGGGAGGAUAUUAGGAUCACAUGAUGGGGAAGCAGACCUAGCAAUAGCUUGCAGCAAGGGAACCUAUAAACAACUUUAGUUACCUUUGAAUCAUAUUAUUUUUUUUUUAAGGUAAUCUGACAUAUAUAUAUCUUUCUUCUUUGGUGUACCCUACCCCUAAAGUUUAGACUAAUCAUUUUGGAUGCUUUCAGUUAACUUGGGGAUUUUCUUCUUGUACUUUCCUUGUUUUUUCCCCUUAUUAUUUUGUUCAGUUUAUGAGGUGGUCAUGCUUAGCUUGGUGAUGUUAUGGCUUCUAUAUUAUUUCAGAUUCUUAAGUUUACACAUUUUAAUUGAACCUAGAAGAUUUAUACAAGGAUGAAUUUUACUGAAUGAAUCUAUGUGGCUAUCCUCAUCGAAUGAUUGACGAUUCUGUUCCCACCCCCUCCUAUCCCAGGAAAAAAAACUUUUGUAUAAUUAGUCCUGUUUGCUUUGUUUAUGGAAAUGGUUGCUACACUUGCACCAUUCUCUGGGUUCUUCUCUACAGUAUUAUUAAUCAUACAUUGCAUCCGGUGAUACUUACAUCUUUGAACAGGGGGAUCUUCCAUAAGCUUAGUCAAUGAAUCCGUUUGCAGCAUCUUAGAUACCUCUCUCCAAAUGAGAGGAGAAACAUAAAGCAUUUGAGAUAAUUACUAGACAUCUGGAGAGUGGUAAUGGAACUGCGUAGUCUUGAUGUCCAGUUGAGAACCAACAAGUGACAAAACAUAACAGAUCCGAGGAAAAACUUCUCUUGCCUUUAACAUCUAUGGUAUUAAAAAAAAGAAAAAAAGGAAGUAUAGCUCUUGAACCCCUAUUAAAAAAAAUGAUGUGUACUUGGUUGUGAUUAUGCAUUUCAUGGUCAUUUUGAGUUCUGAUUGAAAUAGAUCUUAUUCAUUACAUUAAUUUCUAUUGAUCAGUGAAAUUCCAGGGAGCUUAUGUGUUUCAUCUGCUUGGUGGUCUUAGUUGGAUUAAUUUGUACAAUAUAUGUAUCCAUUUGUAUGCAUAUGACUGUUGAGUCUUAUUUUUCCAUUGCUGAUGUCAUUACAUCAAUGCUAUAGCUGGAUUAGAAAAAUACGAGCAAAGAUUGCUUUCACAAUAUAUAAUGCUCUAAGCAAAAAUAAUCAAUGGCAGCUGUAUAUGAAUAAAGAUGUUAUAAAGUUAUUCUCUGUGGGUUCAGAAUGCUAAAUAAGAGAAGCACUGUUGGCUGCAUUCAAAGAGAUGGUCCAUAACAUUUGUUGGUCGAUAGGAAAUUUUGUAUUCUAAUGAGGUCCAAUGACUAAGGAUAAAGAAAUUGAAGGGGGAGGACCAGAUGAGGUGGUUGGUGUUGGUUAGUACUUAGUAGGAGAUCCACCUAUCCCUUUUAAGGUUCCCUUGCUAACAUAUAGAAGGUUGGCCAGUAGCCAUCUGCACUCCUCUGUGACUUAGGGAGGUACUCUUCUACCUUUUUGAUCAUGUCAAGUCAUUUUGUUCAAUUGAUGGGAAAUUUUAUGCUAGGAUGAAUGUGGUCACAGACAAAACAAAAUGAUUAAUGAAAUGCACUUCCCAUCCCAAUUAUUCAUGGAUGUUAAAUAAAUGGAGUCGCAUAAAUUCCCUUGAUGGUUGGCUUGAUCAUAUGAUUGAAAUCUCACCCACCAGAAGACCAAAAUUUGCAAACAAUAAAAAUUAGGAAUCACUUUACCUUGAUGGUUGGCUAAAAACUGAAAUUUAUAAAACAAUACAUGGGAAGGGGUUGAAGUUACUCGGAGGGCCCUGGAGGAAAUAACCCAAUCUUCUAGAAUCAAGGUGAACUCUUGAACUGAAGCCUGUUGGUCUGGGAAUCCAAAAGAGAAUUUUGUCACAAUAUUUGAGUGCUACGAAGAGGCCAUUAGAAGGGCGGAGUCGGCAAACUCUCACUAUUCAAAAGGAAAAAUAAAAUCGAAGGGAGAAGUGAAACCAGAGAGAAAAGGGAGGGUGCAUACAGCAUACAUGUUUGGAGUUGUGGUUUGUAGCAGUGGUCAGAGUCGCUGGAGUUGCCGGACUGCUGGAGUUGGUUGUUGUGGUUUUUGGCUCUUGCUUCUCUCCGACUCUGUCUCACAAACAGUCAAACUAAUGGAAGAUGGGGAAGGAGUUUGGAAAACCCAUUCCCUAAAUCGAAAUGGUUAAAAGUUAAAUUUGGGUUUUAGUGGAAUUAUUCAAAUUUUAUUCGGUUCGGCCCAUCUUAUUCACAAUUUUUAACCGUAUUCCAAAAAUCCAUGAAUUUUACCUAUUUUUAUUUUAAGAAUGGAUUUAGACAGAAAAAUUCAUAUAAUGCGGAAUAAUUAUAUUCGCUGAAUUAAAUAACUAGGAUCGGACACAGAAGGGCUAAUCAUUUUAUGGUUCACAUGAUUCAUGGUCACACAAUCCAAGUGACAUGACUGAAAAAUAGAGAAAUCAUAAAGAUUCUGAGAUGGAUCUGGCCUAUCUUAGUGUCAUGUUUCCUAGUAAAUGAGGGUGGUCACAAAAUCCAAGCAACAACUUAAGGCAAUUUUCUGUUCCGGUUAUAAACUUUUUUAUUUAGUUGUCUUUACUGGAAAUUUUAUUUUUGUGGUGGUGUGAAUAUUUUGAAAGUCUGAUCUGAUCUUUUUGUUUUCCCUUUCUUUUCCUCUUUUCGUUUUAUCUGGUGGUGCAUAUUUUCAAAUUACCGAUGGGGGUGUUGCCCUCAAUAUUUAUCUCUUCUAUAUUUUUGUUUCUUUGCUUUAACGUCUUUCAGGUAGUCUACAUAUUUAAUAUAAUGGAGUAGAAUCUCCUUUUUAUUGAUGUUGUUUGUUGACAUCCAGAAUAAGUAAUCAGUCUUUUUAACUUAAUUCAGCCAUCUUGUUUAUUUCAGCCCUUAAAUUGGCAGUCGUAAAAAAUGUAUUAAAACUGAACAUAUUCAUUCCUAUUGAUAAUGAUUUGUUAUCAACCUUAUUUUCAUGUAUGUUUAUCUGUUGUACAUAGUUUAGUUCUUCUGUUUUCGAAUUGAAAAAUAAAAACAUCAUUUUCUAUAUCCUUGCUGAUCAGUAUAUAAGUGUACUGUUUACUCUGUUUGUAGGUGUACCUGCAUAUGUUUCUCAACAUCUUCCAGGCUCCUUUGAUAUUGGUGAUGUGUUAAAGUUUUGAGUGUCCAGCUGCAAAUUGCAUGCCUGUGGCACUUUCCUUAACAUGGUUGUAUGCUGAACUUGUAGAGUUAAUGGGAUUCCAAAUGCAAAUCAAUUAGCAUCUCAUGGGGGAAGGGAGGGUGAUCCCUGCUGUACAUGUGCUAUUGAACCAGAUGGAUAUACUGACCACAAUAUCCAAAUUACCUGCUCUUAUCUGGUCCUAGUUGAAGGCUCUUCUUUCCCCAAAACUACUGCUUCGUCAAUAAUAGUGUGGACUCUGGACUGCAUUGUUGUUCAUAUUUUGGACUAGCCCUAUAAUAAAACCCAUAAGAAUUUGAUUAAUAAGUUCUUUAGCAAGAUUUGAGUUCAAAUUCUCUUAUAAAUUUAUGCCUCUGUUAUUAAUCUAAAAAUUUGACUAGUUAUACAUUCAGUGACUACCAUUUAUCAUAAUGUAACCACUACUAGUCCUCUAACCACACUUGUCUUAAAAAUUAAAAAAAAAAAUAAACAAGAAAUUUAGUCCUCCCCUCUUCCUUCUCCUUGUUUUGUUUUGGAAAUUCACUGAACACUUAUUUAUUGGUUUACUCAUGCUUUUGCCUGUCAAAAGAAUAGGGUUUUCAUGAGUUAGCAAAAAAAAAGGGGGGGUUUCAUGCAGCAUUGUUUCUCUCAUCUUAUAUUUGAUAUUUCUGUUAAAACAUGCAAUUUUCUAUCAAUCAUGUUGAUUAACUUACCACUUCUUAAUUGCAUGUAAGCUUGGCCUGGCCUUCAACAAUAAAGACAUUUUUCCCAGGCUCGAAUUAGGCUGCCUGCAUGUUAUAAGGAGGGUGGUGGAGCUUUGCUUGAGUGGUAGUCAUGUGGAUUUACUCAGGAAGUUCUUAUCCAAAAUUGUGCGGUGUCUAGAAGUACUGGUGUGACAGAAAACAGUUAGUGGAGUUACAGAUGAUGCUUCACUUAUAGUCAUGAUUUGUUACCCAUAGUAAUCAUGUUGGAGCUAACUAUGACUCAUUCAUUUAUCCAUUUCUUUAACCUUGUUAUGCUUCUUAUGUUCCAUCAAAUCUAAAACUUGCUAUUGGUCUCAAAAUUUACUGAGAAAGUUACACCUACAGUGGUUUCAUUGAAAAAAAAAUUGUGGAAAUCUCUUCAUAUCAUUAAAAUAGAAGUUGCAUAACUUUCCUCUAUCAGUUUAUUAAAAAUCUCACAAAUAAGAACAAAUAAGUUUUUCUGUUACAAACUGUCUUGGUAUCUUUUUCUUUCUCCUACAUAGAACUCUGUUUUGGUAUCUUGACAGUGUGAAGAUUGCAAAUAAUUGCUGACAUCUCCAAACCUUUGAAACAUGGUGGCAAUAAUAUUAGAUUUUUCAACUCAAGGACCAAUUUUGAUUUAUCAGAUACUAUGAUAUGUGUCAUAAAGUUCAUGAAUUUCAUAUUUUAUCAGCUAGUACAUUUGAAUUACCAUUUUUAAAAUUUUGCUAGUUUUGUUGAUUGACUUUUCUUAUUAAACUUUGUAAAUUGCUCUGGAUUUAUCCCCUUAAUUUUGGAUUAUUGUUCUGAAAAUAUGAUUCUUAUUUUCCUUUUGUCUUUUAGGCUGUUACAAAGGCUAAGUUGGGAUAUGAUUGACUAGAGGUUAAUCCUGAGGAUAUGAUACACUUUGCCAUCGAACGUCCCUAGUUGACUGCAAAUAAAUUGAACUAGACCAAAAGUCUGGACAAUAUUUGGAGGUGAUAUUUCCUUGUUGCAUUGUCAAUAAACCACUUCAUUGCUUCAAGUCAUAACAAAGGUUUAUGUGCAUGUUGAGAAUCUGGGAAACCCUUGUGUGCUUCUCUUGGACUCCUGCAGAGCUGAUGUCAAUUGAAGAUUUCAGGGCUAUGAAAAGGAGAGAUUUACUGCUGCAGCAGUAUUGGAGAAGGGAAGCUGAUGGAACAUAUGUUAUUCUUCACCAUUCAGUGUACCAUAAAUGGUGUCUACCCCAGAAAGGAUAUAUCAGGGCCUGCCUUAAAAGUAAUGUAUGCUUUGAAUUUGGAUAUUGCAAAUGUUCCUUGAGUUUUUCUCCCUUUCUCUUCCUUCUGGGUGAUUCAUAUGUUAACAUAGCAAGGAUUAUAUUUCCUUAUAUUAUGAUUUCCACUACAUUGAAUGUGCUCCAAUUUUGGGCUGGCUAGACUGAUGAAUGUUAUGUAAUUUUUAUCAGUGUAGUGUACUGCAUUUGUGACUAUACAUCACAUACAUGGUACUUGUUUACAAUUUGUGUAAAUGCAUGUAUCUCUUUUUUUUUCCCAGCAAAUAUUGUAAAUUAUAUGAACAUCAUUAGAGGUAUAGUGCAAGAUCAGUAGAAACAAUCUAGCUUCCUGUGUUGUGUAGUGUAUAUGCAGCAUGUUUAUUGGUGGUUGGAACACCACCAUUAGAUGCUUUACCUGAGGCAAUCUUUUAGUCAGAAGUUGGCUGAUAGGUUUCUAGACACCUAAGAAUUAUGGUCAGAAACACAAUACAAACCAGAAUCACAGUGAAUAAAUAAUGACCAGAAUUCAAGAAUAUUUAAUAUCACUAGAUCAGCAACUCAGAUGAUUGUGAAAUUAUGAUAUGAAGUUAAUAAAUAACAAGGAACAACUCUUCUAAAGAUGGGCUCGAUCCAAUGGUUGGAUCUCAAGAACCACCACUGUUACAGAAUUAGUAACUUAAGAUUCUAAAAACUACGAAUGAAGAUGUCUCAGAAAAUAAAGAACUGAGGGAGCUAAGAUUCUGGUCAACAAUAGUUCCUAGGCUAUCAGACAAGAUAUCAAAUUAUCAAGUGAAUCCGAUGGUUAAAAGUUAUUAAAUUUUAUUUCUUAAAGUAGGAUGGAGAAGGAAGAAUGAAGAAGAAGAUAUGACUAAGCAUCCCUCCCAGCCUCAACAGGAAUUCCACCAGCCACUGUUGGCUUCCUGCCAACAUAAUACUGCAUCUCACAGCAAAUCUAAAGCUCUAAGGAUAAAGAAAGGGCUAAAGCCAAAAUCUCAUUAAUCAAAUUUGAGUACAAGGCUGGACCCCCUUACAAACUUAUACAGAAGACUCAAAACAUACCCAAACACUAAAAUGGAAAGGCCUAAACCAAUCCUUAACUAAUAAGGUAACAUAAAGUGACUAUGAAAGUAACUCAAAAUAGGACUGGACUUAUAGAAUCCUAAUCUAGCCUAACUAAAACAUUUGAUAAUUAAAAUAAAGAAAUAAAGGUACUCAACUAAUUGUGUAGUCUUAUCUUCUACUCAUAUUUUAGGCCCAUUGAAGUGGCCCAUUACAAUGAAAAUACAUUGGAUCAAAGGCCCAACACAUACUUGAAGCAACCAAAUCUUAUUCCUAUUAAAAUAAGCCUAGUUGGGUUUUACUUGCAUCAUUGACCUUGUUGAUGAACAUCACAGUCCACUCUUGAGAUAUUGUCCAACAAGAGUGCAUAUUUCCUAUGACUGUCCAAUUUAAUGUUGGACGAGUGGAUAGACUAUUCCAACAAGCUCUAGAAGUUAGAAUUAGAAUACAGGGGAAAAGCCUAAUCUGCAACUGAAACAUGUUUGUUCUAAACUGUCUCUAACUAAACUAUUUCAUAUCAAGAUACAAGUAGAUACAAAUCCUACAACAUUCUUAUAGAUUGCUAGACCUUCUUAAAUUACUGAGAUUACUUGUCAUAUAUUUUGCACGAAUUUUAAGUAACCGUGAGUACUUUUCAUAUAAUUGCAUCGCUUUUAAGUUAUUGAGUGCACUUGUCAUAUAUGAGAUCUGCCACCUUAGCUCAGAUGGUGAUAGCUUUAUCAAAAUCUCAUGAGUCCACAUAAGCAAGGAUGGCAACUAGCCAGCCAAUGGGAAGAGUCACCGACCACUAUAUAAAGAAGGUUUAAACUGAUUUUUAGGGCUCAAACUGAGUGAGAAACUUCAGCAACAUAAGCACAGUGGUUGCAAGCAUAGUCCUGAUCAUGCUCCUCCACUUCUGGCAUCCACCAGUCACUCACACCGUACUCUGACCCAGAAGAUACUGGAUCACCAGCCAUCAGCACCACGGUACCUACAUCA